GGCUACCGUCACAUAGCACUCCUGUCUCCCGUUUGACUUCAUAUAGUGAAAAUUGUCUAAAAGAUAAGGCAGGAGCUCUGGUUGACACCCCCCCUGCCCCCGCCUCAUAGAUCUCUCUCUAGAAGCAUUGGAAGAGGCCGUCUCAAAAAAGAAAAAUAAAAUAGAAGCAUUGGAGGAAAGAUGUGGUUUGUAGUGAAACAAAUUGGAAGUCAAGCUCAGCCUCAACCACUUACUUGCUUCUGACCUUGGGAAUCCUGCUUUGUGUAGUUCAGUGCCUGCUGCCAAGUCAGAGCUGUGACCUCAAUGAAAGUGGCCCAGCCACAGCAAACCUCAGUUUCCAUAACAGUCCUGGGAUCCAAUGUGGCUUUCACACUACAUGUCACUUCACUCUGUUAUCUCUGACAGAAAACCAACUCAAACUGGCUUAAGCAAAAAGGGUACUCACUGGGCCAUGUAACCAAAAAGUGUAGGCAUACAUGUGGCUUCAGGAAUGGCUGGAUCCAGGCACUCACAUGUGGCAUCGGGAGUCCCUCUCCUGGCUGUUGGUUUCAGUUUUCUCUGCAGGGGUUUCAUUCAAGCACUGGUUCCCUCCUCAUAGUGGCAAGGUGGCUGCCCAGGACAAGAGGCUUAUAGCCACGGGCUCAGCUACUUAAGGAUAAGUUCCAUCAGAAGCCCAAGUUGAGGCCGGGCUUGGUGCUCACACCUGUAAUCCCAGCACUUUGGGUGGCCGAGGUGGGUGGAUCACUUGAGGUCAGGAGUUCGAGACCAGCCUGGCCAACACAGUGAAACCCUGUCUCUACUUAAAAAAAAACAAAACAAAACAAAAAAAAAAACCAUGAAAAUUAGCUGGGUGUGGUGGCACGUGCCUGUAAUCCCAGCUACUUGCAAGGCUGAGGCAGGAGAAUCACUUGAACCUGGCAGGCGGAAGUUGCAGUGAGACGAGAUCACGUCAUUGUACUCCAGUCUGGGCAACAGAACGAGACUUCGUUGGCAAUGACUGGGUCAUCUGUCCAGUCCUGAACCGGUCACUGUGUCAGGUAGAAGCAUUGUUUGAUUGGCCAGGCCUGGGACACACGGCCAUCUCCAGACCUAGGAAUGGCAUCAUCUCUACCCAAACCCCGUGAACCAAGAGUUGGGGAGGAGCAAAGCUUCAGAGAAAACUCUGGGCCCUGUCAUCAAGCAGAGGAGGAAAGGAGGCCACACAGACUGAGACAUCAAGUACCCACUGUGCCCUCACCACCAGCUCCCGCCCUGGCCAGUGCACUCCUGGACCAUCUCUCCUCCCCGUCUUGUUCACAGUCACCCUCUCACCCCAGCAGAGAUCAGGCCAGGGUACUGGUGGCAAGUGAGUGAAGGGUUUCAGCAAGGGGGUCCCCACCUUCCAGGCACAGUGUAAGUGGACCCCCCACACUUGGGGGCUCUCCUGGGUUGCACAGUGUCCUCUGAAAAUUCACAUCCACCUGGAACCUGCAAAUAUGACCUUAUUUGGAAAUGGAGUCUUUGCAGAUGUUGUCAAGAUAAGAUGAAGUCAUACUGUUUUAGGAUGGGCCCUCUAUAUGGCACGACUGGGGUUCUUAUACGAAGAGGGACCCUGGCACACAGAUGCAUACAGGGAGAGUGCUGUGUGAUGAGAAAGGCAGAGAUUGCAGUGAUGCUGCCACCAGCCAAGGAGUCACCAUCAGCCAGGAGAUGGGCAUGGAUCUGAUUCUCCCUGGGAACCUCCAGAAGGAGCCAACCCUGCCAACACCUUGGUUUUGGACUUCUGUUCCCCGCAACUGUGAGACAAUACAUUCUGUGGUUUUAAGCUUUAUGAUAAUUUGUUACUGUAGCCCUGGGAAAGGAAUACAAGGGUAGACAGACACUGAUCAAGUAAGCAAACAAAUGUGAAAUUGCCCUGUGACAAGGGAGGUGCGGGGUGCCUGUGUUGGGGAAGAAUUCUCUGAGACUUGAAGUCAGAGAAGGAGUUAGCUAAUGGGGCCGACAGGGUUCUGCACACGCAGCUCACGGCCCAGAUCUUGUUGGCCAAGUGUUUUUGCAGGGAUUAGGAACUAAGAAUGGUUUUGCAAGAAGAACAUCACAGGCUGAGGGGACAGCAUGGGCAAAGGCCAUGAAGUGGGAGGCGCCCUCUGUGAAACCAACAAGCUUUCAGCCACGUGGGUCUCUCUGACGCGUUGCCUCAGCCACAGAGGGCUUUAAAAAGCCCCGAAACUGGACAGGUGUCACUGCCUGUGGCAGUAGCGGCCAUUUGGCGCCUGUGGUUUCAACUCCACCCGUUUCACAUGUCUAUGUUACCAGACUGGCCCCUGAAGGGGAUCUGUGUGCCAGGCCCUGACCUGCCGGGCUUUGGAAACAUCCUCGACAGUGUCCCCUGACCUGCGCCCCGCCUUGUGGAGUGAGGCCUGGUUGCCCAAGCUGGCUGGGCCGGGCUGUUUGUUGCUUCCAACAAACAUAGGAGAGAACGUAUGGCUGCUUUUUAUUGCCAGUGAGAGUUCCGCGAGGCCUGGCCCGAGAUGUGGCUGGCGUGAGGGGUCCCGGACCUGCUGUGCUGGGGACGCACCCAGUUCUGUGUCGCUUGGUCCAGUGAGGACUCGAGCCCCUUGGAGGCGGGGCCUCGGGCUGCAGGGGCGGGGCCCCGAGCCGCCUGGGGGUGGGGCCUCAGGCUCUUUGGGGGCGGGGCCUCAAGCUGUCUGGGGACGGAGCCUCCGGCCGGCUGGGGGCGGGGCCUCAUGCCUAAGGGGCGGGGCCUCGAGCUUUCUGGGGGUGGGGUCUCAAGCUUCAGGGUCGGGGCCUGGAGCCGCCUGGGGACGGGGCGAUCUGUUGGGGAGGAGGUUCUCGAACUGCUGAGGAGGAUCGCAGUGCUUUUGCUUCCUCUAGGAGACCAGCUGCACAGGCUGGAACAUGCCAUCUCUAUGCCUGUUUUCCCGUCGAUAAAUCCAGAGACAUUACUCUCAUCAUUUCUUCCUCUGUACACAAUAUUCAUAUAUGUAACCCCUUGGUAAAGCAGUUGUAAGAAUUAAACAAGAGGAAUUGCUCUUUCAUUCAGCAAAUAUUUUUUGAGCAGCUACUAGAUGCCAGGCACUGUUUUAGACGCAAGUGAUACUUCAGGAAACAUAAUCAGACAGACAGACAGACAUGCCCUCCUGGAACUGACAUUGUAGAACAAGGGUCCGCAUCCUGUGGCUCACAGGCCAGAUCUGGUUGACCGUCUAUUUUUGCAUGGACGUUAAACUAAGAAUGAUUUUUGCAUUUUGAUUUUUAUUUUAUGAAAAAAAAAAUUGAGGGCUGGGCGCGGUGGCUCAAGCCUGUAAUCCCAGCAUUUUGGGAGGCCAAGGUGGGUGGAUCACCUGAGGUCAGGAGUUCAAGACCGCCCUGGCCAACAUGGGGAAACCCUGUCUCUACUAAAAAUACAAAAAUUAGCCGCCAUGGUUGUGGGCACCUGUAAUCCCAGCUACUUGGGAGGCUGAGGCAGGAGAAUCGCUUGAACCCGGGAGGUGGAGGUUGCAGUGAGCCGAGAUGGCGCUACUGCACUCCAGCCUGGGCAACAAGAGUGAAACUUUGUCUCAAAAAUAAUAAAAUUAAAAUAAAAUAAAAAAGAGUGGUCUCUGGAACAAUAGCUCAGUAUCACCUGGACAUCUGUUAGAAAUCCAGACCUACUGAACCAGAAUCUGUAUUUUAGCAAGACCCCCAGGUGAUCUGUGUGUACAUUAAAGUGUGAGAUGUUUUUGUAGCAACACGCAUGGAACUAGAGGUCAUUAUCUUAAGUGAAAUAAGCCAGAUACAGAAAGACAAAUAUUGCAUGUUCUCACUCCCAAGUGGGUGCUAAAAAAUGCAUACACAUGGCUCCACAGA
RNAcentral lists this long non-coding RNA (3849 nucleotides) under Homo sapiens (human). RNAcentral's name for it is "HSALNT0384697". The record is from RNAcentral. Lineage: Eukaryota; Metazoa; Chordata; Mammalia; Primates; Hominidae.